AUACAUGCAAGUAGAACGCUGAAGCUUGGUGCUUGCACCGAGCGGAAGAGUUGCGAACGGGUGAGUAACGCGUAGGUAACCUGCCUCUUAGCGGGGGAUAACUAUUGGAAACGAUAGCUAAUACCGCAUAAAAGUCGGCAUUGCAUGAUGUUGACUUGAAAGGUGCAACUGCAUCACUAAGAGAUGGACCUGCGUUGUAUUAGCUAGUUGGUGAGGUAACGGCUCACCAAGGCGACGAUACAUAGCCGACCUGAGAGGGUGAUCGGCCACACUGGGACUGAGACACGGCCCAGACUCCUACGGGAGGCAGCAGUAGGGAAUCUUCGGCAAUGGACGGAAGUCUGACCGAGCAACGCCGCGUGAGUGAAGAAGGUUUUCGGAUCGUAAAGCUCUGUUGUAAGAGAAGAACGAGUGUGAGAGUGGAAAGUUCACACUGUGACGGUAACUUACCAGAAAGGGACGGCUAACUACGUGCCAGCAGCCGCGGUAAUACGUAGGUCCCGAGCGUUAUCCGGAUUUAUUGGGCGUAAAGCGAGCGCAGGCGGUUAGAUAAGUCUGAAGUUAAAGGCUGUGGCUUAACCAUAGUACGCUUUGGAAACUGUUUAACUUGAGUGCAGAAGGGGAGAGUGGAAUUCCAUGUGUGGCGGUGAAAUGCGUAGAUAUAUGGAGGAACACCGGUGGCGAAAGCGG
RNAcentral lists this ribosomal RNA (690 nucleotides) under uncultured Bacilli bacterium. RNAcentral's name for it is "bacterial SSU rRNA". It matches the Rfam family "Bacterial small subunit ribosomal RNA", at positions 51 to 724 of the family's 1533-position model. Lineage: Bacteria; Bacillati; Bacillota; Bacilli. The record is from RNAcentral.